RNAcentral lists this ribosomal RNA (333 nucleotides) under Paenibacillus validus. Its description in RNAcentral is "bacterial SSU rRNA". It matches the Rfam family "Bacterial small subunit ribosomal RNA", at positions 1129 to 1461 of the family's 1533-position model. Lineage: Bacteria; Bacillati; Bacillota; Bacilli; Caryophanales; Paenibacillaceae. The record is from RNAcentral.
AGUUGGGCACUCUAAGUUGACUGCCGGUGACAAACCGGAGGAAGGUGGGGAUGACGUCAAAUCAUCAUGCCCCUUAUGACCUGGGCUACACACGUACUACAAUGGCCGGUACAACGGGAAGCGAAGUCGCGAGAUGGAGCGAAUCCUUAGAAGCCGGUCUCAGUUCGGAUUGCAGGCUGCAACUCGCCUGCAUGAAGUCGGAAUUGCUAGUAAUCGCGGAUCAGCAUGCCGCGGUGAAUACGUUCCCGGGUCUUGUACACACCGCCCGUCACACCACGAGAGUUUACAACACCCGAAGUCGGUGGGGUAACCGCAAGGAGCCAGCCGCCGAAG